Acanthosepion pharaonis is the source of this 113-nucleotide non-coding RNA. The record is from the annotation of a GenBank genome assembly. Lineage: Eukaryota; Metazoa; Mollusca; Cephalopoda; Sepiida; Sepiidae.
UUACGACCAUAUCACGUUGAAACAUUCAUUACCGUAGGAUCACCGAAGGUAAGCAACGUCGAGCCUUGUCAGUACCUAGAUGGGUGACCGCUUGAGAAUACCAGGUGCUGUAA